Molecule: long non-coding RNA, 731 nt
Organism: Micropterus dolomieu (smallmouth bass)
Lineage: Eukaryota; Metazoa; Chordata; Actinopteri; Centrarchiformes; Centrarchidae
Exons: 4
Source: RefSeq, a predicted model, not a curated record
UCAAGCGCUCUGGUGAGACGAGCUCCCGGCGUCACGUCCCCGGCGCUCUGGACAGAGCCGUAGAUGAAGUCGGUGAAACCUCGCACAUGUGCAGUAGAACUUAAACCUUAUUUUGGGUCAAGGUCCUCAAACUCGUUCAGGUUUUACGUCCCGGUGACCAGUGAAGGUGCAGUUCCGGCCCUUUCAGUUAUAGACACCAAGUAACUGGAGGCGUUACCAAGAUGGCUGCCGAGUGGCGGCAUUUGCCUAUAAAUACUUUGACUUUGCCUUAAACCAGUUCUUCUUUCCUGUUCUCCGUCUCCAGUUACAGUUUUAUAACCACUCAGCAUUUUGUUCACUGGUCUUGUUAGAGCUGAACCUCAUCACACCACGUCGCCGCUUCAGGAGGGAAACGUCACAACACCCUGAAUACGUCAACACCCGGACUGGAUUACAGCUGGUGUCUUCUAUGAAUGAGAGGAAGACGUCAGAUGCUUUGUUUAGUCUACAAGCAGCGAACCCUCACAUGAGAAGCUCGAGCUGGAGAAGAUAUCGCCGUUCUUUACCGUGAACACGUUUGAGUCGCACAGACCGAUCGAGCCGAACAAGAAAAGGACAAAGUGCGUGUUUGAGAACACACGCCUGCCGACAGACCUGCAGGUUUCUGAACACUAAAGCUCACUGAUGGAGCGACAGCAGAGAGGAAGAGGGGGACAGCUGGCUUUCCUAGAGAGAGAGAGAGAGAGAGAGAG